Molecule: ribosomal RNA, 468 nt
Filed under: uncultured bacterium
Lineage: Bacteria
Description: partial 16S ribosomal RNA
Rfam family: Bacterial small subunit ribosomal RNA
Source: RNAcentral
GACGAACGCUGGCGGCGUGCUUAACACAUGCAAGUCGAACGGCAACGCCCUACUUUCUUGGUCUGCUCGAGUGGCGAACGGGUGCGUAACACGUGAGUAACCUGCCCUUCACUUUCGGAUAACUUCAGGAAACUGGGCCUAAUACCGGAUAGCAGCUCCCGCUGCAUGGUGGGCGUUGGAAAGUUUCGGCGGUCGGGGAUGGACUCGCGGCUUAUGGGCUUGUUGGUUGGGGAGUGGCUUACCAAGGGUUUGGCGGGUCGCCGGCCUGGGAGGGGGACCGGCCACAUGGGGCCUACGGGACGGCGCAGAGUCCUACGGGAGGCAGCAGUGGGAAAUAUUGCACAAUGGGCGGAAGCCUGAUGCAGAGGCGCCGCGUGCGUGAUGACGGCCUUCGGGUUGUAAACAGCUUUAGCCUGUGACGAAGCGUGAGUGACGGUAAUGGGUAAAGAAGCACCGGCUAACUACGUG